Cricetulus griseus (Chinese hamster) is the source of this 1345-nucleotide non-coding RNA. NCBI's taxonomy places the organism in Eukaryota, Metazoa, Chordata, Mammalia, Rodentia, Cricetidae. The record is from RefSeq and is a predicted model, not a curated record.
CACCAUGUGAUCACAAGAAGCAUGCUGUUGGCAUCCUCGAUAAGGUUAAAAAAAUGAACUGACAUGAAUUGAAACCUUGAGCUAAAGAAUAGAAAGGUUGGAGAGCCCCAUAUCACACUUCUUCUCUUGUCCCUAAAGAAGAAUGUUUUCACUUUGGAUGAUUUCACAAUCUGUGGAGAGAUGAAGCUGUAUUUGAAUUUUGAAGGGAUUCGAAAAUUAUGGCAAUACACUAAAUUUGAAGCAAUGUCUGAAGGAAGCUUUGUUCUUCAGGAAAUACCACACCGUAUUGAUCAUGCUACUCUUUAAGUAUGAAAAGUAUACAGGCUUUGUAACAGACUCAACUCAUCAUCUUAUAGUUCAUAACAUUGAAACCAGAGAUACCACUAUGCUUUCUCUUGUCCCUAGACUUUUCAAGAUGUCAUUUGUAUUUUCACCAGAAUUUGUUACCAAUGUUUGUACAAUAUUUUUGAAGUGCUCUACAUUUCCCAACAUUAUUUCAAUGUUGUUAAUAUUUAGAGGUUCUCUGCAUGAAAUAACAGCUGGUCUAAAUAUGGAGGUCAAACAUUUCAGAACAGAUUUAGCAGAAGGAAAGAAGGGAACUACAAACCCGAGGAGAGAUUUUGUCCUUCCUUUCAUAUGAAAAUAUGAAAAAAAUACAUCUAUCAGAAUUUUCACUGUGAGAAUUUAUAUUUCUAUUGUAAUUCAUUAAGAGUUUUAGACUAAUAACUCACUCGUCAAAUAAGAUGAUGAGACUAAAUGAUUUUGAAGUAAAUUUGUUCAAUAUGGUUGUUCUUUGGGUUUUCUUAAUUUUAGAGGGUGAGAAAUCUUUUGGAUAUUAUUAAUUUAAAAUUAGCUGACAAUUGCCAUGCUCAAAACUGAGGCAGAAAGAUUUUCAGAAAGUGUUUUCCUCUUGAGUUGUGUCAUUAAUAGCUUAUUUCUAGGCCACGAAUUGACUAUAAAUGAUAUUUCCAAGUGAUCAAGUCUAUUAUAAAAAGUAACAUUUGUAAGUAUGAGGUACUCAACAGAAAACAAGAUUUUUAAAAGCCAACUUACUUUUACUUCUGAAGACAUUGGGUAUUGGAGCAGUUUUUCUAUCAUUUCUAGCAGACAGGAGAAUGACUUUCAAUGACAUGCAUUUCCCUCAUGUCCAUAGAUUGUAGUUGGAAGUGUAGCUGUCAUUCAGUAUCAUGCAAAGAGCCUUGCAUUUGGGGUUAGAUGACCCCCUCAAAGAGGAAGAUAAUUAUCAAUCCAAAAAUAGCUGCCAGUGAUUUGUUGCUCUAUUAUUUGUGAACAGUCAAGGUGAGAAAGUUAUUUACCACUGCAAGCAAAUUUACUCAUCUUUUCA